GAACAUGUCUUUACUUUUUAGUUUUUAUUCUUUAAUUUGGGGGUAAAAUAGGUAUUCUACAAUCAUUAAAGGGUCGGGCCAAGUCGGUGCACAAUAGGCCGAUCUCGGUCGGGUGUUAUUCGGUCAGUCUCGGUCAGGCGCCCGACGGUCCAAGUAGCAAAACCGAGACCGACCAUUUAUAAAUGGGCCGGGCUCAAGCCUGACAAGUUUAAUAAACGGUCCGGGCCGGGCCAGUCUAUAAACGGUCAGUCCCGAUUGAUUUAGUCGGGUCGGGCCACGAAUUGACACCCCUAGAUCACUUAAUCCCUCAAACAAUGGAAUUCAAAAAUCUCUCUCAUCCAUCAAGAAAAAUUAUUCUCCAUUGUUUAGAAUCAGCUCUUCCCAAUGAGUAUACUACCUUCCAAAUUUUCGAGGUGGAAUGCAAAUUGAAAUCCCUCCUCGUGGUUGAGGAAAUCUCUGUGGAUGCAAAUAAUUAUAAAUAAUGGCUUAUGCCUUUUUCUAUGAGAUUAGCAUUUUGGCUUUGGUGAUUUCCAUGGCUGUGACGAAUCUUAUCCUUCAAUCCUGCAAACCACGAGGUCUGUGGUAUGUAAGGUCUAGCAAAGUCUGCAAAAAGACCAAGCCCAAAAUCUUUGGUGCAUAAGGAAUAACAAAGAAACCGUUUAGGAACCAUAUAAUCGUUUAAUAAACCAUUUUCGUUUUGGUUUCAUAUGAAUCUGUUUAAUAUACGGUAAAUCGAAUCGUUUCCCAAUUCUAGUUUAUACGGCUGGGUUUUGGUUUGGAAUUGAGACCCUUAAUCUUGCCUUUGCUGUAGCUUACUCAAUAGAAAGCAACUUGAAGGAGAGGUAAGAAGAGGGAAAAUGAGAGAUGGGUUUGUCGUUGGUCUCAAACAAGGACUGUUGUCUCCACGGUUUAGCAGUGUUUUUGUUUCCUCUGUUUUUCUGCUUUAAUAGCCACUGAUGACGACCUUACUGAGUAUGAUGUCCUACAAUCCUACAAUUCUCCGGUGGUUCUCUUCCCCAAGUGGUUGUUAAGUUACUAUUGAUCUUUGACUUGUUCUCCAAUUGAUCAAUUUUGGUAGCUUGUGACGCAGAGAUGACCUGACACAAGGCCAAGCAGAAGUGCAGAAUUGCAGAAGCAUAGUUGUCCUCCCCUGUUUUCUCACAGAAGGGUUAAAGUGCUGAAGGUGAAGGAGAAGAGGAAGGAAGGUUCAGGCAGACCAGAGGUCCGAUUAAUGCUCCCAAAGCUCAACAAAGGCAGGUGCCAUUGUCCAAGUCCUUCACCCAGACCUGGAGUCGUAGCGAUUAAGACUAGAUAGAUGAAUUUGCCUUGGAAUUAGACUGUUAGAAAAGUUCUUCCAGAACUCAAUGGCAAGCUCACUGGAAUGGCCUUGUGUGUCCCGACUCCCAACACCAAAUGUUUCAGUUGUGGACUCCACUUGAGAAAAGUGCUUCAUAUGAGGAUGUUGUUAGAUAUGUAGUCCCCAUCUGAACUUUUUCUUGUGCGUUCACAACUGACAAAUCUAACCACAGGCGGGCAUCGGAGAAAUUGAGAGGCAUUCUUGGAUACACAGAUGAAGAUGAGCUUGUUUCAUGAUGUGGGGUUACAGUAGGCGAGUCUCGCUUGGUCCACACAUUGUAGAUUCUUGACCAGUUAGGUUCAUGCUGCUGCUGUGCUUUUAGUGAGGCCUAUUGGAAGGGAUUGGUGAAUUAUAGAUUUUAAUAGGGAGGACAGUUUUAGAGGGUUGAAUUGAAUGGCUGUUCAUUACCUAAAGAGUUUUGCAGAGUAACUAUGGUUGAUGAGCCAAUCAGAAAUACAGCUACAGAUGAGAAAUCACAAA
This is a long non-coding RNA of Macadamia integrifolia, 1837 nucleotides long. RefSeq lists it as uncharacterized. The transcript is spliced from 2 exons. The record is from RefSeq and is a predicted model, not a curated record. Lineage: Eukaryota; Viridiplantae; Streptophyta; Magnoliopsida; Proteales; Proteaceae.